Long non-coding RNA from Zea mays, 2884 nucleotides. RefSeq lists it as uncharacterized. Lineage: Eukaryota; Viridiplantae; Streptophyta; Magnoliopsida; Poales; Poaceae. The record is from RefSeq and is a predicted model, not a curated record. The transcript is spliced from 4 exons.
AACACCAGUUAUAGUUGGGGAAGGUGAACCUCCUCCCUCUUAGAAUCCGGUACCAACUCCAAAAGGUAUUAAAUUCUUUGUACGUAUAUAUGGUUUACUUUAGUCCUUGUUACUUGUACUUUUGAAAUGAUACAUGAUUUGCUUUAAUUCUAUUUUAUUAUUUAACUUCUAGCUGACAAUAAAUCUAUAUUCUUUAGUUCUACAAUGAGUAUGUCAUUGCGAGAUCAUAUUAGAAAGAGGAGGGAAGAAGAAGAUGAUGACAUGAUGUUGUUUAUUUUCCCUGCCUUAUCUGAUGGGUUCAACUAGAGGUGGGGGACAAAAGAAGAAACACCAUACAUCAGAUGAGACAGGAGAGGUUAAGGUUCAAAGACUCCUGGAGGGACAUGUCAAGAACUGACAAGUUACAUUUAGGAUGGAACCACACAUCUUUAGAGAGCUGGCAACUUAUCUUGGAAGGAGAAGAAUUGUCGUUGAUACAACGAUCACGGUCGAGGAGAAGUUGGGGUUCUUCUUAUACAUGCUAAGUCACAAUGCCUCAUAUCAAGAUCUUCAAGUGUACUUUGGGCAUAGUAAUGACACCUUCCAUCAUCACAUCAACCACUUCUUUACGAAGGUCAUUCCUAUCCUCUCUCGUCGUUUCAAUCAGCCUCCUGAUCCUAAUCAAGUGCAUCAAAAAAUUCAAGAUAAUCCUAGAUUCUAUCCAUUCUUCAAGAAUUGUCUCGGUGCUAUUGAUGGAACACAUAUUCCUAUUUCCAUAUCUUCUGAGAAACAUUCUCCUUUUCGAAAUCGGAAGGGAACACUCAGUAUAAAUGUGAUGGUGGUAUGUGACUUUGAUCUCAACAUCACUUUUGUUUCUAGUGGAUGGGAGGGAUCAACUAUAGAUUCUAGAGUGCUAAGAUCAGCUAUGAGCAAGGGUUUCUAGGUACCUUCAGGAAAAUUCUAUCUAGUUGAUGGAGGGUAUGCAAAUACUCCAUCUUUUCUUGCUCCAUACCGAGGAGUUCGGUACCACUUGAAAGAAUUUGGAGCUAGACAUCGAAGACCAUAGAACCCAAAGGAGCUCUUCAACCACCGCCACACACUACUAAGGAAUCAUGUGGAAAGGGCUUUGGGGGUGCGUAAGAAGCGCUUCCCCAUUCUAAUAGUUGCCACAUUCCACACACUGGAAAAUCAAGUAAAGGUACCUAUGGCUGCUGCCAUCUUCCAUAAUCUAAUUCGAUCACUUCAUGGCGACGAGGAAUGGCUAGAUCAUCAACCAGAUAAUAUCGAUCAAUCAAACUUUGUUGCUCUAACAAGUGGAGAUCAGAUGAAUGACCCAUGCACUACACAAGACAAUAGUUUAAGAGAUAUCAUCGCCCAGGAAAUGUGGAUUGAAUAUCAACAACAUUUAAAUUAGUAUUUUCGUGGUUGAACAAGAUGUAAUAAUUUAGUAUUGUGACAUGUAAUAAGUUAGUAUUAUAACAUAUAAACAUUAAUUUAGUAGUAUUGUAACUUAUAAUAAGUUUUUUCUUUGACAAGCUAUGGCUGGAAAAGGCUCUCCAAGGUUCAACAUGAGCAGUUCCCCAAAGUUGCGAAGGUUCAUUCCCACAACAAGUGCUACUAAAAAGGCCUUCUCCUAAAUGCAGUGGGGCAAAAAAGAGUGGUGGUUCUACAAGAGUAGUGAAACAAAGAGCGGAUUGGAAUCCUGGCCAUGAGAGGUCCCUUGUUAACAUUCUCCAUGAAUUUAAAGAUAGUGGCUAUAGAGGUGACAAUGGUUGGAGCUCUGAAGGGUGGAAUAGGAUGGUCAAGGAGUUCCAUGUGAGGAACAAGUAUGUAUCCUUUACAAUGGAUCGGAUUCAGGAUAAAGAAGGUCAGUUGAAGAGAGACUAUAAGAUGCUCAAAGCAGCAAGGCAACAAAGUGGAUCGAGCUGGAAUGAGAAAAGAAAUGUGGUUGAAGGACCACCAACUUUGUGGGAGAAUCAAAUGGUGACAUUCCCUAAAAUCAAGAAGUUUAACAACAAGGCAACUUUCCCGCUCUUUGAUGCUUUGGGAGAGCUUUAUGAUUGACACUUGGCUAGAGGGACUUGGUGUUGCACUUCCAUUGAGGCACCGUAAGAGGAAGAACUGAAUGAGCAACUUUAGGAUGCAGAAGAUGGACCACAAGGCUUUGAUCUGAAUGAUGUUCAUGAUGUAGAUGAUGAAGUUGAUGAUACACUCAAUGAAAGGAAUGAAGAUGUGCUUCAAGGAAGGGCUAAUACUCUAUCGCAAGAUGAAGAAAGUGGACAACAAAUACCUGUUGCAUCAAGAAACAAACAAGAAAAGGAAUUAAAGAAGCUUAGAAAGAGUGACAACAUAGAAAAUAUGAUGGGAAGAUACCUAGAAAUGAGGAGCAAGCAAGUAGAAUAUGAAUCUGCAAGAGAAAAGGAGGCAGAGAAAUGGAGGUAACUCAAAGUGAUGAUUUCUCCAUCAAAAGGUGCACAUCAGUUAUGAACACAAUAGAAGAAGUGACCAAACUGGAGAAGGCAACGACAUAUUCAAUCUUCGUCGAGAGCAAAGAGAACAUAGAAACUUUCAUAUGUGCUUGUGAAGCAGAUUAAGAAUCGGCUUUGAUUUGGCUAAGAAAUGAGAUGUCUUAGCAGCUUCGAUAUGGAUAGUAUUGGGAAGCAAAGUAUUGGAAAUUGCUAUCAAACAGUUCACUUGAUAUUUGAUAUGUCAAACAAGUGUAUUCGAUAUGUCUUACAAAAAAUUGUUUAGGAUCACUUGUAUUAGCAGCUUUGAAUUGUUGUCUUAGCACCUUUGAUAUGUCUUAGCAAAAACUGCCAGUUCACUCUUUGAUAUGUCUAGAUUGAACCAAUUCACUCUUUGAUGUCUUAGACUGAAUGUGACUCUGAUAUGUCUUAGCAUUGAA